RNAcentral lists this transfer RNA (73 nucleotides) under Ovis aries (sheep). It matches the Rfam family "tRNA". Rfam says of the family: Transfer RNA (tRNA) molecules are approximately 80 nucleotides in length. Their secondary structure includes four short double-helical elements and three loops (D, anti-codon, and T loops). Lineage: Eukaryota; Metazoa; Chordata; Mammalia; Artiodactyla; Bovidae. The record is from Rfam by way of RNAcentral.
UCCCUGGUGGUCCAGUGGUUAAGACUCUGCACUCCCAAUGCAGGGAGCACGGGUUCGAUCCUGGGCCAGGGGA